This 253-nucleotide ribosomal RNA is filed under the name uncultured bacterium. Its description in RNAcentral is "partial 16S ribosomal RNA". It matches the Rfam family "Bacterial small subunit ribosomal RNA", at positions 524 to 776 of the family's 1533-position model. The record is from RNAcentral.
GACAGAGGGUGCAAACGUUGCUCGGAAUCACUGGGCGUAAAGGGCGUGUAGGCGGGUAGAUAAGUCAGAUGUGAAAUCCCCAGGCUCAACCUGGGAACAGCAUUUGAAACUGUCUGUCUUGAGUGUCGGAGAGGAAAGCGGAAUUCCUGGUGUAGAGGUGAAAUUCGUAGAUAUCAGGAGGAACACCGGUGGCGAAGGCGGCUUUCUGGACGACAACUGACGCUGAGACGCGAAAGCGUGGGUAGCAAACAGG